GACGAACGCUGGCGGCGUGCUUAACACAUGCAAGUCGAACGGAAAGGCCCUGCUUUUGUGGGGUGCUCGAGUGGCGAACGGGUGAGUAACACGUGAGUAACCUGCCCUUGACUUUGGGAUAACUUCAGGAAACUGGGGCUAAUACCGGAUAGAAGCUCUUGCUGCAUGGUGGGGGUUGGUAAGUUUCGGCGGUUGGUGAUGGACUCGCGGCUUAUCAGCUUGUUGGUGGGGUAGUGGCUUACCAAGGCAUGGACGGGUAGCCGGCCUGAGAGGGUGACCGGCCACAUUGGGACUGAGAUAGGGCCCAGACUCCUACGGGAGGCAGCAGUGGGGAAUAGUGCACAAUGGGCGGAAGCCGGAUGCAGCAACGCCGCGUGCGGGAUGACGGCCUUCGGGUUGUAAACCGCUUUCGCCUGUGACGAAGCGUGAGUGACGGUAAUGGGUAAAGAAGCACCGGCUAACUACGUG
Molecule: ribosomal RNA, 468 nt
Filed under: uncultured bacterium
Lineage: Bacteria
Description: partial 16S ribosomal RNA
Rfam family: Bacterial small subunit ribosomal RNA
Source: RNAcentral